Juglans regia (Persian walnut) is the source of this 912-nucleotide long non-coding RNA. RefSeq lists it as uncharacterized. The transcript is spliced from 5 exons. The record is from RefSeq and is a predicted model, not a curated record. NCBI's taxonomy places the organism in Eukaryota, Viridiplantae, Streptophyta, Magnoliopsida, Fagales, Juglandaceae.
AUUUUCCCCCCCCUCCCUUCGAUUUUAACCCGUACAGUGCUAAAAAAAUCCUGAUUUCCCUUUCUUCCUCAAAUUCGUCUUCUCCAUUUUCUCUGUACCUGCAAAUUAAUCAAAACCGACCCAUUUCUGUUGCUACACGGUUGUCCUCUUCCACCGAAAACCACCAUUGACAGCAAAUCUGCCUCCACCGAUUUGGCUCCUGCGGCCAGCCUGUUCUACAUUUCCUCUUAGCACGGUUUCGUUGAUCGCGUCCUCCCCGUCCUCUCCUCCACUCGGUUGUUGCCGAUUAACAUUGGUGUCAAAAUGUGUUACUGGUUUGUGAAUUUGUUGUUGGGUAAAGCAACGUAAUUUGCACCGAAAUGAAGGACCUCUUUUAUCCAUCAGUUUCUGUUUCUCUUGAGUUUGAGAGCUGUAAAUGGAGGACCAUGGAAUGCCCAUUUAAACAUGCCUAUAGGCAGGAACUUUCCUAGUGAAUGCUUGCUACUAGUGAAUGAGAUGCUUGGUUCUAUUGAUGAAAAUGAGCCGCUUCAGAAAGGAGUAUAACCGCUCUGUUUCCACACCCUGCUUAGGUAGCGUAGGGAAAACGUUCUGUACAGCUAACUGAGCGGUGUGUGAGCUUCCUCCUCUCUUUCAUCCCAAUGACUAGGCUAUAACUCGUACCUGUCUCGAGCUUAUUGGAAAUAAAGUUGUUGCUUGUGUUGGAAAUACUAGUGAAACGUUUCACUAGUAUUUUUUUUAUUUAUUUUUGUAACAGAUUAUUUUUAGAUCUAAUGUAUUACUGAUGGAUGGAUUUUAUAAUACUAUCUAGUCUUGUGCUCUAUUUGUGAAAUUGCAAUGAGAAGGACAUGGCAAAACAUCUAAGGGUAAGAUGUUUAAUAUCUCAUGAUUUAAAGAUUUGACCCUAGAUGCUCU